This 138-nucleotide small nucleolar RNA is filed under the name Ornithorhynchus anatinus (platypus). Lineage: Eukaryota; Metazoa; Chordata; Mammalia; Monotremata; Ornithorhynchidae. The record is from RNAcentral.
CCCCUCUCAGGGUCACAUCUGGGGAGUUUCCAGUACUCUCCCAGUCUCGACUAUGGGAGGGAGAGUCAAGCAGAGGCCUAGACAUUCUACUCCUAGCUUGGGCAGUAGCUAGCGAGUGGAAAGCAAUCUGCUACAAGU